Non-coding RNA from Pelobates cultripes (western spadefoot toad), 258 nucleotides. The record is from the annotation of a GenBank genome assembly. NCBI's taxonomy places the organism in Eukaryota, Metazoa, Chordata, Amphibia, Anura, Pelobatidae.
CACUCACAGACACACACACUCUGUCACUCACAGACACACACACACUGUCACUCACAGACACACACACUCUGUCACUCACAGACACACACACACUGUCACUCACAGACACACACACUCUGUCACUCACAGACACACACACUGUCACUCACAGACACACACACUCUGUCACUCACAGACACACACACUCUGUCACUCACAGACACACACACACUGUCACUCACAGACACACACACUGUCACUCACACACACACACACACU